GGAAUUUAAGCAUAUUAAUGAGGGGAGGAAAAGAAACUAACUAGGAUUCCCAUAGUAGCGGCGAGCGAAAAGGGAAGAGCUCAGCACGUAGGCCGACAACUGUUAUGGUUGUUUGGCGAUGCCGUGUUAAGGAGUGUCUAUUAUCUUGUGUCAAAAUAGUAUGUCCAAGUCCAUCUUGAAUGAGGCCAUGACCCAUAGAGGGUGCUAGGCCCGUAGUGACUGCUAUUGAUGCAAGAAGGCAUCUCCUAGGAGUCGUGUUGCUUGAUAGUGCAGCACUAAGAGGGAGGUAAACUUCUUCUAAAGCUAAAUAUUACCAUGAGACCGAUAGCGAACAAGUACCGUGAGGGAAAGUUGAAAAGCACUCUGAAUAGAGAGUCAAAAAGUACGUGAAACCGUUUAAGGGUUUAAACCUGAUGAACCUAAAUAUCUGAAUGAGGAAAUUCAGCAUUAUUGCGUCAGAUGAUGGCGUAAUGGUGUGCACUUUUCUUCUAGUAAGACGUUGCGAUCCAUUAGAAAAGUUAAAAUCUGUAUAUAGGCCCGGAUAGGAGUUUAUACAUUUAGCGAGUAACAUGGCUUUGUUGUUAUGUGAAUGCGUGUAAACUAUUUGGUGUUCUUACAGAUGUCUGAUGGUAUUAUGACUAAAUGUCACAUACAAUCUUCGGAUUGAUAUCUCUUGUGGAUAUAAUGUGUACAUUAUCGGCAACGUUUUAGAUUUAGGAUACCAUCAGGACCCGUC
Molecule: ribosomal RNA, 736 nt
Filed under: Culicoides imicola
Lineage: Eukaryota; Metazoa; Arthropoda; Insecta; Diptera; Ceratopogonidae
Description: eukaryotic LSU rRNA
Rfam family: Eukaryotic large subunit ribosomal RNA
Source: RNAcentral